AGAGUUUGAUUCUGGCUCAGGAUGAACGCUAGCGGCAGGCCUAACACAUGCAAGUCGAGGGGCAGCGGGGUAGCAAUACCGCCGGCGACCGGCGUACGGGUGCGUAACGCGUAUGUAACCUGGCUCCGAUUGGGGGAUAGCCUUCCAAAAGGAAGAUUAAUACCGCAUAACAUCGCUUUCCCGCAUGAGAGAGCGAUUAAAUAUUUAUAGAUCGGAGAUGGACAUGCGUGACAUUAGCUAGUUGGCGAGGUAACGGCUCACCAAGGCGACGAUGUCUAGGGGUCCUGAGAGGGAGAACCCCCACAUUGGUACUGAGACAGGGACCAAACUCCUACGGGAGGCAGCAGUGAGGAAUAUUGGUCAAUGGUCGGAAGACUGAACCAGCCAAGUCGCGUGCAGGAAGACGGUCCUAUGGAUUGUAAACUGCUUUUGUACGGGAAUAAAGUGCAGGACGUGUCCUGUUUGGAAUGUACCGUAAGAAUAAGGGUCGGCUAACUCCGUGCCAGCAGCCGCGGUAAUACGGAGGACCCGAGCGUUAUCCGGAUUUAUUGGGUUUAAAGGGAGCGCAGGCGGAGGAUUAAGUCAGCGGUGAAAUUCUCAUGCUCAACAUGAGAACUGCCAUUGAUACUGGUCCCCUUGAGAGAUGUCGAGGAUGGCGGAAUGUGAUGUGUAGCGGUGAAAUGCUUAGAUAUGUCACAGAACACCGAUUGCGAAGGCAGCUGUCCAGAGAUCAUCUGACGCUCAGGCACGAAAGCAUGGGUAUCAAAAGGGAUUAGAUCCCCUGGUAGUCCAUGCAGUAAAAGAUGAGUGCUCGCCCAUUUGCCCCUUAGGGGUGAAUGGCUUAGGGAAACCGUUAAGCACUCCACCUGGAGAGUACGCCGGCAACGGUGAAACUCAAAGGAAUUGAAGGGGGCCCGCACAAGCGGAGGAACAUGUGGUUUAAUUCGAUGAUACGCGAGGAACCUUACCCGGGCUUGAAAUCAGGAUGAACGAUCUGGAGACAGAGAGGUCUGGCAACAGCAUCCUGGUAGGUGCUGCAUGGUUGUCGUCAGCUCGUGCCGUGAGGUGUCGGCUUAAGUGCCAUAACGAGCGCAACCCUCGCUGACAGUUACUAACAGGUUAAGCUGAGGACUCUGUCGGGACUGCCACCGCAAGGUGUGAGGAAGGUGGGGAUGACGUCAAAUCAGCACGGCCCUUACGUCCGGGGCUACACACGUGUUACAAUGGGUGGGACAGAAAGAAGCCAGGCGGCGACGCCGAGCGGAUCUCCAAACCCAUCCCUAGUUCGGACUGGAGUCUGCAACCCGACUCCACGAAGCUGGGUUCGCUAGUAAUCGCGCAUCAGCCAUGGCGCGGUGAAUACGUUCCCGGGCCUUGCACACACCGCCCGUCA
Molecule: ribosomal RNA, 1393 nt
Filed under: uncultured bacterium
Lineage: Bacteria
Description: 16S ribosomal RNA
Rfam family: Bacterial small subunit ribosomal RNA
Source: RNAcentral